Long non-coding RNA from Ostrea edulis (European flat oyster), 5501 nucleotides. RefSeq lists it as uncharacterized. Lineage: Eukaryota; Metazoa; Mollusca; Bivalvia; Ostreida; Ostreidae. The record is from RefSeq and is a predicted model, not a curated record. The transcript is spliced from 2 exons.
GGUAUUCUUAGUGAGCAUUGCUCACAGUACCUCUUGUUUUAACAGGGUUUUUUUUUUUACAAUAACUAUCGGAAAAGACUAACAAAAUUUAUGUUCCUAUCAUGCAUAAAUCUAAAUAAAUCAUUGAUUUUGCAAAAUCUGAUGACAUUAUAGGAGGGUGGAAUUACUUUAAGUUAUGUUUAGUGCUGUGUGUAUAUAAACAUGCACUCAUAUAAUUAUAGCUUCCCUCUUCCAGGGGGAGACAUAUUGUAUUUGUACUUUCUGUCCGUCCUUCCUUCUGUCACAAAAUCUUGUGAACGCUUCUCCACCUAUAUGGCUUAUCAGAUAGACUUGAAACUUUGUACAAUGCUUCAUUGUCAUUUGCAGAUGUGAAUAUUGUUGGGACGGGAGGAUCCAAUUGUUUUCCUAAGAGUUAUAGUGGAUCUAAGAGGGGUGGAAGAUGUAAAAUAGCUUAUGAACUCUUCUCCUCCCAUAUGGCUUAUUGGAUAGACUUGAAACUUUGUACAAUGCUUAAUUGUCAUUUGUAGAUGUGCAUAUUGUCGGAAUGAGAGGAUCCAAAGUUUUUCCUAAAAGAUAUAGUGGAUCUAAAAGGGGUGGAGGAUGUUAAAAUACCUUGUGAACACUUCUCCUAUAUGGCUUAUCUGAUAGACUUGAGAAUUUGUACAAUGCUUCAAUGCCAUUUGUAGAUGUGCAAGUUGUAGGGACAGGAGGAUCCAAUUGCUAUCCUUAAAGUUAAAGUGGAUCUGAGGGGUGUAGGGUAUAAAAUAGUUUGUGAACGCUUCUCCUCCUAUAUGGCUUAUCAGAGUUCAUGUCUAUCUUCCUGCCCAUGCUUUCUCCUCCAUACUAUUCAAUACAUUAAGGGGGAUGUUUCCUAUAUUUUACGAAUUAAUUGGUUGAUUGACAACAAACUUGGUACACUUGUACAGCAUAUAUAAGGAGUAGAUGACCCCUAUUGAUUCUUAGGUCACAUGGUCAGUCCACUCUUGACAUAGGAAGAUAUUGUCUGCUCAAUAUUUUGAAUUGGUGAUACUACUAUCAAUUAAAUGAGGCACGGGUAUAACCCUUUCAAUUUUGCAACUUGGGGGGCAUAUGUGUUUUAGAAACAUCUCUUGUGUUGUAUUAUAUGAAUUACAGGUUUUAGUGUGCUCAGUUUAGAGAAUAGCAUAAAAGUAUUUGAUAAUUAAAUAUCUUGCAGAUUGGCAGUUUACUCCAUGCACCGACAGGAAUGAUAAACUGUGAUAUUCGUAAAUGGAACUGGGACACGUUCUAAAUAUACUCAGGGACAGAAUGAUGUGCAGCAAGGCUCGUCAUGGGUAGAGAUACUCCCAUUUAAUAUUGAUACUUUUCAUAUCCAAGCAUGUAUAUGGCUAGGUUGUAUAAUGUUUGUUAUAAUUAUCUAAAUUAUGUCCUUCCUUCCAUCUAUUGUUCUGUGUGUUGAUUUCUCACCACUCUGCAAGAAAGGGCAUUCAUGUCUAUUUCAUAGACGAUCGAUCCUACAUGUAGUUGCAAUUGAAUCAUAAAUUAUUCCCAAAGAGUUCAUGAUUUUAUCAUGUUUUGAAUAUAAUAUUUUUUCAAUAUCUAUUUUACCAAAUACAGAACACUGCAAGGCUUGCAAAAUGAAGACCUCAGUAAAACAAAUUCUAAAUUAUCCACUGUAAGGCUACUUACCAGUAAUUCAUAUCUAGAACUUAAACAUAUCAUCCUUGAAACAAUAAAAACUAAUUUAAUAUAGUAUAUUUAUGUAUGUUAUGCUUUUUCAACCUUUAAAUUUUUUAAAGACAGUAUAGUUUAUUAUGAUUGCACAAUAUUUAAAGUUUAAAUUUUCAUAGAAUUUUGUUUGCUCUCCAGAAUGGCAGCUCACUACCUGCCCCUAGUGAUGUUAAAAGAGGCCAUUGUUCUCAUUUGUUCCAAAACAGGAAUGGCAUAUGAGGAGGCCAACAGAAGAUGCACCUCCACUGAGUGUGCACUCACAAAACGAAUAAAUUAUUAUUAUUUCUUUUGUUUGUAAUUGUAUAUUGUCAACAAGGUCAAAGGCACUUGAUCCGAUGCCAAACUUUUGCAUUUCUUUUGCUUUGUGGUAAAUUUUCUUCAGUAACAUUAACAUUGUUUAAAUUGUUUUCUUUGGAGAGUAUACAUGUACACAUGGAUUAUUUGUAUAUUAGAAUUAUAGCAUUGUUUAAUUCAACUCAUUUUUAUCAUAGAGAGGUUAUUAUAUACUGUAGGCAACGACUUGUAAAGGGUAUACUGUUUUAACUCACGUGCAAGGCAAGGCAGUAUUAUGAAACUCUGUAGUUGAUAAGGACAUAUAUCACAUAUCGAUAUGCAUAUUUACAGGAAACUCUGAUGUAUUUUAAAUCUGAACGUUAAUUUAAAAGUGGGGAGAAAUAGCAUUGGAUGAAAAAAGACACAUAUGAAGAAAAUUAUUCCAUACGUAAAUACUUUUAAGCUCACUUGAGCUGAAAGCUCAAGUGAGCUUUUCUGAUCGCCUGUUGUUCAUUGUCUGUCCGUGAUUAAACAUUUUAUAUUUUCUCCAGAAGCACUGGGCCAAUAAUAACCAAACUUAGCCAAAAGUAUCCUUGGGUAAAGGGCUUUCGAGUUUGUUCAAAUGAAGGGCCAUGUCCUCUUCAAAGGGGAGAUGAUCACAAAAAUAGGGUGGGUCAUUUAAUUUUUUUUUUUAUCAAGAACCACUGGGCCGGAAGAGCUGAAAUGUACAUGAAAGCUUCCUGACAUAGUACAGAUUCAAGUUUAUUGAAAUCAUGGCCUCCAGGGGUUGUAUGGGGCCACAAUAGAGAAUCAAAGUUUUACAUACAAUUAUUCAGGAAAAAUCUUUCAAUAUGAGCCAAGGUGGCUCAGGUGAGCGAUGUGGCCCAUGGGCCUCUUGUUCAACAUAUAGAAUAAAUAGUUAUGUUGUAUUUCCCAUGGAACAUUGAAACGUUUAAUGCGUUUACCAAUUAAUCACUGAAAGAAAGAUAAAAUUGUUGUUUCAUAUGUUUUAUGAAAACUUAAAGAUGUUUCAUUUCUUUUCAUGAAAGACCCCUUAAUUACCCAGUAAUAUAUAAUCAAUUCUUAACAGAUUAUGUAAAUUUGAUUUAUAUUAAGGAUGUUUGAUCUGAUUACCCAUCAUUAUCAAUCUGUCUAAUAUAGCCAUCAUGUGUUACUAUUGCUACGCAAUCUUGGAGCAUGAGGUAGAAUGCGAACCAGCUCUUUCAUAAGUACAUGUAUCUGGAAAAUAUUUCAAUGUCAAAGGUUACAACAAUGUAAUAAUGUAAUCAUUGUAUGUCUAAGGUCUUGAUAAUAAAACUGUUAUCUGUUCAACGUUUUCUUCUUAAUUAAAAUCAAGACUAAGUACCAGAGGAAAUUGUGGAAAAAAAUGUCUGUCAAAUACGUCAAGCUCUUACAUGUAGUAGUUGCAGAUUCAACUAUUUAUAGAGAUACUGAGUUAUGAUGCACACAAAAAUGGGUCUGGCACAAAAAUGUUGAUUUAGCUCAAGAUGACUGGAAAAGUCUAUAACACAGAGAGACUGGGUGUUUAUUCAAUUGUGAUUGAUUGAUUGAAUAUUGUUAAACGUCCCUCUCGAGAAUAUUUCACUCACAUUGAGACGUCACCACUGCCGGUGAAGGGCUGUAAAAUUUAGGCCUAUGCUCGGCGCUUAUAGCCAUUGAGCAGGGAGGGAUCUUUAUUGUCCCACACCUGCUGUGACACAGGACCUCUGUUUUUGCGGUCUCAUCCGAAGGACCGCCCCAUUUAAUCGCCUCUUACGACAAGCAAGGGGGUACUGAGGAUCUAUUCUAACCCGAAUCCCCACGAGACUAUUCAAUUGUGCCUGAUGAUUAAACUAAUAAUAAACAUGUAUGGAAAAUUUAAUAUCAGUGAAAUACGAUACUGUUGUACAGAGACAAAGUUGUAUUUUAUAGGCUAAGACAGUGUAAGGCUCUACAGGGACUAGGUUAGGCUCUACAGGGACUGGGUUAUACUCUACAGGGACUAGGUUAUACUCUACAGGGACUAGGUUAUGCUCUACAGGGACUAGGUUAUACUCUACAGGGACUAGGUUAUGCUCUACAGGGACUAGGUUAUGCUCUACAGGGACUAGGUUAUACUCUAAAGGUGCUAGGUUAUACUCUACAGGGAAUAGGUUAUGCUCUACAGGGACUAGGUUAUACUCUACAGGGACUAGGUUAUACUCUAAAGGUACUAGGUUAUGCUCUACAGGGACUAGGUUAUGCUCUACAGGGACUAGGUUAUGCUCUACAGGGACUAGGUUAUACUCUAAAGGUACUAGGUUAUACUCUACAGGGACUAGGUUAUGCUCUACAGGGACUAGGUUAUGCUCUACAGGGACUAAGCUAUGCUCUACAAGGACUGGGUUAGGGUUUACAAGGAUUGGAUUAGAUGCAGUGAACUGGAUCAUAUCCUAAUUAGUAUUAGAGUCAGGCCCGUGAACUCAAUCACAUUUUUGAUUAGUGUUAGAAUCAGGCCCGUGAACUCAAUCACAUCUUAAUUAGUGUUAGAGUCAGGCCCGUAAACUGGAUCAUAUCCUAAUAUCCAAAAACACUUCUCUAGGAUCGUGCAAGGUUUUUCGAAAUUCUCACCUUCACUUGCAAGUAUAUCGAACCUUGGACUUUGGACUAUACAAGGCUAUAUAGAUAAAUGCCAACUGCUCUUUCUUGGCAGACUCUUGAGAGCGGACCAUUCCUCUAUUUUUUCCCAAAUAUAUCGAUUUAUUACUGACACUCCUGUAUCUUCAAUGUUUUCACCAACCAAGACUUUAUUAAAAACAGCAGAAAAAUAUCAACUCUCUGACACUAUGAAUUCCGCAACUGUCUUCAACAAAAAAGAAUUUUCAAAAAUCGUUGUGAAAACUAUACGGUCAGCAGAGGAAAGACAAUGGAGAGGUGCAUUAUCUGCUGAUCCAUCUCUGUCUACAUUUGGAAAAAUCCACACAAGACUAUGUCCAAACAAACUCUGGUACCUGGUGAAAGAAGAUCCGUCGAAACGGUUGCUAUUUAAUUUUCUCAUACAGCUUUCAUCUAUGAAAAUCGUUUCUAAAUUGUGCUCAUUCUGUGACAAAUAUUCGGAUAACUACAACUUGCACAUUCUCCUCGAAUGCUUUUACACAUUAGAUGAUAGACAAUGUCUUUUAGAAAUGAUAUUAGAUAUUAUUGAUGUUCAUGAAUAUGUUCUUUUUGAAAAUCAGGAUACAGAAAAACAAUAUCUAUCGUUACUGGGUUGUAUUGAUGAAACUAGUUUUAAUGACAUAUCCUUUUGUAAAUGGAAAGAAAUAAUGCUGUGUGUUGCAACGAUAAUAUACAGAAUAAGAAGUUGCUUUAUUGUAGAUUGCCGAAAGUUCUAGAUGAUUUGUUACCUAAAUAUAUGGUUAUAUAUAUUAUAGACAUGUUACUUAUAUUCUCCACUAUGUAAAUAUGUUCUAUGUUUGAUACAUGUAAUUUCCACAAACUCUCCGUUAAGUCGGAGGAAAUAAAGAAUAUCUUAUCUUAUC